GGGUUGUGAGGUUAAGCGACUAAGCGUACACGGUGGAUGCCCUGGCAGUCAGAGGCGAUGAAGGACGUGCUAAUCUGCGAUAAGCGUCGGUAAGGUGAUAUGAACCGUUAUAACCGGCGAUUUCCGAAUGGGGAAACCCAGUGUGAUUCGUCACACUAUCAUUAACUGAAUCCAUAGGUUAAUGAGGCGAACCGGGGGAACUGAAACAUCUAAGUACCCCGAGGAAAAGAAAUCAACCGAGAUUCCCCCAGUAGCGGCGAGCGAACGGGGAGCAGCCCAGAGCCUGAAUCAGUGUGUGUGUUAGUGGAAGCGUCUGGAAAGGCGCGCGAUACAGGGUGACAGCCCCGUACACAAAAAUGCACAUGCUGUGAGCUCGAUGAGUAGGGCGGGACACGUGGUAUCCUGUCUGAAUAUGGGGGGACCAUCCUCCAAGGCUAAAUACUCCUGACUGACCGAUAGUGAACCAGUACCGUGAGGGAAAGGCGAAAAGAACCCCGGCGAGGGGAGUGAAAAAGAACCUGAAACCGUGUACGUACAAGCAGUGGGAGCACGCUUAGGCGUGUGACUGCGUACCUUUUGUAUAAUGGGUCAGCGACUUAUAUUCUGUAGCAAGGUUAACCGAAUAGGGGAGCCGAAGGGAAACCGAGUCUUAACUGGGCGUUAAGUUGCAGGGUAUAGACCCGAAACCCGGUGAUCUAGCCAUGGGCAGGUUGAAGGUUGGGUAACACUAACUGGAGGACCGAACCGACUAAUGUUGAAAAAUUAGCGGAUGACUUGUGGCUGGGGGUGAAAGGCCAAUCAAACCGGGAGAUAGCUGGUUCUCCCCGAAAGCUAUUUAGGUAGCGCCUCGUGAAUUCAUCUCCGGGGGUAGAGCACUGUUUCGGCAAGGGGGUCAUCCCGACUUACCAACCCGAUGCAAACUGCGAAUACCGGAGAAUGUUAUCACGGGAGACACACGGCGGGUGCUAACGUCCGUCGUGAAGAGGGAAACAACCCAGACCGCCAGCUAAGGUCCCAAAGUCAUGGUUAAGUGGGAAACGAUGUGGGAAGGCCCAGACAGCCAGGAUGUUGGCUUAGAAGCAGCCAUCAUUUAAAGAAAGCGUAAUAGCUCACUGGUCGAGUCGGCCUGCGCGGAAGAUGUAACGGGGCUAAACCAUGCACCGAAGCUGCGGCAGCGACGCUGAUGCGUUGUUGGGUAGGGGAGCGUUCUGUAAGCCUGCGAAGGUGUGCUGUGAGGCAUGCUGGAGGUAUCAGAAGUGCGAAUGCUGACAUAAGUAACGAUAAAGCGGGUGAAAAGCCCGCUCGCCGGAAGACCAAGGGUUCCUGUCCAACGUUAAUCGGGGCAGGGUGAGUCGACCCCUAAGGCGAGGCCGAAAGGCGUAGUCGAUGGGAAACAGGUUAAUAUUCCUGUACUUGGUGUUACUGCGAAGGGGGGACGGAGAAGGCUAUGUUGGCCGGGCGACGGUUGUCCCGGUUUAAGCGUGUAGGCUGGUUUUCCAGGCAAAUCCGGAAAAUCAAGGCUGAGGCGUGAUGACGAGGCACUACGGUGCUGAAGCAACAAAUGCCCUGCUUCCAGGAAAAGCCUCUAAGCAUCAGGUAACAUCAAAUCGUACCCCAAACCGACACAGGUGGUCAGGUAGAGAAUACCAAGGCGCUUGAGAGAACUCGGGUGAAGGAACUAGGCAAAAUGGUGCCGUAACUUCGGGAGAAGGCACGCUGAUAUGUAGGUGAAGUCCCUCGCGGAUGGAGCUGAAAUCAGUCGAAGAUACCAGCUGGCUGCAACUGUUUAUUAAAAACACAGCACUGUGCAAACACGAAAGUGGACGUAUACGGUGUGACGCCUGCCCGGUGCCGGAAGGUUAAUUGAUGGGGUUAGCGCAAGCGAAGCUCUUGAUCGAAGCCCCGGUAAACGGCGGCCGUAACUAUAACGGUCCUAAGGUAGCGAAAUUCCUUGUCGGGUAAGUUCCGACCUGCACGAAUGGCGUAAUGAUGGCCAGGCUGUCUCCACCCGAGACUCAGUGAAAUUGAACUCGCUGUGAAGAUGCAGUGUACCCGCGGCAAGACGGAAAGACCCCGUGAACCUUUACUAUAGCUUGACACUGAACAUUGAGCCUUGAUGUGUAGGAUAGGUGGGAGGCUUUGAAGUGUGGACGCCAGUCUGCAUGGAGCCGACCUUGAAAUACCACCCUUUAAUGUUUGAUGUUCUAACGUUGACCCGUGAUCCGGGUUGCGGACAGUGUCUGGUGGGUAGUUUGACUGGGGCGGUCUCCUCCUAAAGAGUAACGGAGGAGCACGAAGGUUGGCUAAUCCUGGUCGGACAUCAGGAGGUUAGUGCAAUGGCAUAAGCCAGCUUGACUGCGAGCGUGACGGCGCGAGCAGGUGCGAAAGCAGGUCAUAGUGAUCCGGUGGUUCUGAAUGGAAGGGCCAUCGCUCAACGGAUAAAAGGUACUCCGGGGAUAACAGGCUGAUACCGCCCAAGAGUUCAUAUCGACGGCGGUGUUUGGCACCUCGAUGUCGGCUCAUCACAUCCUGGGGCUGAAGUAGGUCCCAAGGGUAUGGCUGUUCGCCAUUUAAAGUGGUACGCGAGCUGGGUUUAGAACGUCGUGAGACAGUUCGGUCCCUAUCUGCCGUGGGCGCUGGAGAACUGAGGGGGGCUGCUCCUAGUACGAGAGGACCGGAGUGGACGCAUCACUGGUGUUCGGGUUGUCAUGCCAAUGGCACUGCCCGGUAGCUAAAUGCGGAAGAGAUAAGUGCUGAAAGCAUCUAAGCACGAAACUUGCCCCGAGAUGAGUUCUCCCUGACUCCUUGAGAGUCCUGAAGGAACGUUGAAGACGACGACGUUGAUAGGCCGGAUGUGUAAGCGCAGCGAUGCGUUGAGCUAACCGGUACUAAUGAACCGUGAGGCUUAACCUUACAACGCCGAAGGUGUUU
Molecule: ribosomal RNA, 2931 nt
Filed under: Escherichia coli
Lineage: Bacteria; Pseudomonadati; Pseudomonadota; Gammaproteobacteria; Enterobacterales; Enterobacteriaceae
Description: 23S ribosomal RNA
Rfam family: Bacterial large subunit ribosomal RNA
Source: RNAcentral